Long non-coding RNA from Bradysia coprophila, 581 nucleotides. RefSeq lists it as uncharacterized. Lineage: Eukaryota; Metazoa; Arthropoda; Insecta; Diptera; Sciaridae. The record is from RefSeq and is a predicted model, not a curated record.
AAUUAAAGACAAAAAAAAAUUCCGUUUUCGAAAAUUAAUUAAAAAAAACUGCCAAAGUGUGAAAUUGGACAGAAAUCACAAAAGAAAGAACAAAAAAAACCAAAAAGAACAUAAACAUGACCCCAAAGGUGUUUGAAGGUGUUGGAGUGAUGCCACAAGUGCCGCAUGGAGCAGUGCAAUUACCGCCGGCGUCGCCGACAGUUCAAGAUGAAUCGGAAUCAGAUGACAGUGACGAGGAAUUACUCGUGUCGAGAAUAAUGCCAUGGUAUCGACAUAAAUAUUUCUACCGUUUCCUCGUACCACCGACGCAUUCACGUUGCAAGACGAUUUCUGCCCAGAUCAAGGGAACGCAUCGUCGGAAUACGAGGUGGUCGGGUGGAUGCGUGUGAAACGCUGUUCCGAAAUCUGGAAAGUGGAUGCGCUCGUGAGCAGUGGCAUAUUCCAUCAGGAUGGGAUGGGGAAUUCAGCAUCAAUUGGACAGAAGGGGAACCAGCAUAACGAGGGUCCAUAAGCAUUAGCCCUACUCACGUUAAAAAAAUGUGGUUCAGAUCCUUCGGAGGAAUGUCGAUUUCGUUUCAUUA